This 250-nucleotide ribosomal RNA is filed under the name uncultured bacterium. Its description in RNAcentral is "partial 16S ribosomal RNA". It matches the Rfam family "Bacterial small subunit ribosomal RNA", at positions 796 to 1041 of the family's 1533-position model. The record is from RNAcentral.
CACGCCUUAAACGAUGUAUGCUUGGUGUUGGAACAGCAAUGUUUCAGUGCCGGAGGGAAUCUAUUAAGCAUACCACCUGGGGAGUACGAUCGCAAGGUUGAAACUCAAAGGAAUUGACGGGGGCCCGCACAAGCGGUGGAUUAUGUGGUUUAAUUCGAUGCAACGCGAAGAACCUUACCCGGGCUCGAAGUGCAGGUAGUAAAGAGAUGAAAGUCGAAUGAACCGUUAAGUCGGUUGCCUGUAUAGGUGC